Molecule: ribosomal RNA, 693 nt
Filed under: Euglena sociabilis
Lineage: Eukaryota; Euglenozoa; Euglenophyceae; Euglenales; Euglenaceae
Description: bacterial SSU rRNA
Rfam family: Eukaryotic small subunit ribosomal RNA (bases 387-693)
Source: RNAcentral
GAUGCCCAGCGAAGGGCUGGCUGGCUCCCGACGUUUCUCCCACGGCGGCCCAUGUGGACAUCCUCCAAAACCUUGUGGCUAAUACAUGCAAGCAAGACCAUCAUCCAAUGGUUUUCACCGAGGUCGGCCGCCCCUCCNCGCGCCCCACGUGGCGCGCGCGUGGGGCACAGCAGUGGGAAACAGAAAAUGCGUGCUACACUGKUGACACCUGCGAUCCAGGGGCGGCCAUCGACCGCACCCGGCUGGUAUCAAGGCCAGCGUCCGUGAAGGACAGCUCACUUGUCGGUUGACCCAGGCCGGUCCCCCACGAAGCACACACACCUGUGGUGUGUGGGGAGAGGGAGGCACCGGCAGAGRGAUAUGUUUUGUGCCUGUCUGGGCUCGCGCCACCGGCACGCCGGUCGCCCCCUCGCGGGGUGGCCAGUGUGUGUCGGUCGGACCACGCCCCUGGCACAGAGUUUUGCCUGAUCACACGAGCUUCUGACCUAUCAGCUUGGUCUGUGGCGCAGUGGACCACAGUGGCCCUGACGGGUGACGGAGAAUGAGGGUUCGAUUCCGGAGAGGGAGCCUGAGGGAUGGCUACCACUACCAAGGUGGGCAGCAGGCGCGCAAAUUGCCCAAUACAAACCAAWCCUUGUGARGCAGCGACGAACUGUAGCAUCCCGCCAGCUCUCCGAGCUGGUGGGACUUGGA